GGCUGGUCGGGUUUGGGCAGAGAUGAGGUCCCCACAGGGCGACACAGGCAGCCUUCGGUGAGGUCAGCGGUCACCACUCUGCAGCCGAAGCGGCUUCUGAUCUCAGAGGGCCACUCUCCGGCUUCCUGAAAACACAGCAAGGCGGAUUGUCAGUGUGUCAGUGAGCAGAGUUCUGGAAACCGAGCAGGACCUGUGUGAACGAGUCCAGCCCACAGGUCACCAUGUGGCCACGCCUCUCCCUGCAGAGGGCUCAGCUGAGACUGCUACAGGCGGCUCCUCACCGACCAGAAUUAGUCCAG
Molecule: long non-coding RNA, 299 nt
Filed under: Fukomys damarensis (Damara mole-rat)
Lineage: Eukaryota; Metazoa; Chordata; Mammalia; Rodentia; Bathyergidae
Description: lncRNA (ENSFDAG00000028068.1)
Source: RNAcentral